This 265-nucleotide ribosomal RNA is filed under the name uncultured bacterium. Its description in RNAcentral is "partial 16S ribosomal RNA". It matches the Rfam family "Bacterial small subunit ribosomal RNA", at positions 57 to 305 of the family's 1533-position model. The record is from RNAcentral.
GCAAGUCGAGCGAGAAGGUAAUGAAUGAUUCUUCGGAUGAAUGAUUUACUGGAAAGCGGCGGACGGGUGAGUAACGCGUGAGUAACCUGCCCCAUACACAGGGAUAGCCAUUGGAAACGAUGAUUAAUACCUGAUAAUACUAAUGAAACACAUGUUUUGUUGGUCAAAGAUUUAUCGGUAUGGGAUGGACUCGCGUCUGAUUAGCUAGUUGGUAAGGUAACGGCUUACCAAGGCAACGAUCAGUAGCCGACCUGAGAGGGUGAUC